UACGUAGGGUCCGAGCGUUGUCCGGAAUUAUUGGGCGUAAAGAGCUCGUAGGCGGUCUGUCGCGUCGGCUGUGAAAACACGGGGCUCAACUCCGUGCCUGCAGUCGAUACGGGCAGACUAGAGUUCGGUAGGGGAGACUGGAAUUCCUGGUGUAGCGGUGAAAUGCGCAGAUAUCGGGAAGAACACCCGUGGCGAAGGCGGCUCUCUGGGACGGUACUGACGCUGAGACGCGAAAGCGUGGGGAGCGAACAGG
Molecule: ribosomal RNA, 253 nt
Filed under: uncultured bacterium
Lineage: Bacteria
Description: partial 16S ribosomal RNA
Rfam family: Bacterial small subunit ribosomal RNA
Source: RNAcentral